This is a long non-coding RNA of Coregonus clupeaformis (lake whitefish), 1454 nucleotides long. RefSeq lists it as uncharacterized. The transcript is spliced from 9 exons. Lineage: Eukaryota; Metazoa; Chordata; Actinopteri; Salmoniformes; Salmonidae. The record is from RefSeq and is a predicted model, not a curated record.
GGAUGGAUUGGCCCCCCAGCCCUUCCGUGUCCUCAUACGUGACUGGACAGCGAUAGUGACCACCUCAAUGUCCCCCUCCCCACCCAGACCGGCCCCUGCCCCCCAAACCCACCGUCGCCAUCCUAGAGGUGGUCUGACCAGAGCAGAAGACAACCACAGCUCCAAGUACAAGUUCAGCCCAGUGUGAACAUUGAGCCCCCAACACCAACACCAACCCCCAGCCUGAGCCCAGCUCCACCAUCACCACCACCUCCUGCUGCUGAUCCACCUCCAGACAUACAGGAUCCAGAGGAGGAGGAGCUCCUAGAUGCUCUUAUAGAGUUGAAUGGUCUGGUCUCUCCUCCUAUGUACCACGGCCCUGUGUUACCCUGCAGAACCCCUACCACCCCCAGACCCUGUCCUCAGCUCCAUCCAACACAGAGAGACCCUGGAGAACAGACUGGUCGACUGGGUGGAGCAGCAGCUGAUGGCCAGGAUGAUCUCAGAGAUGUACCGCUCCCCUCCGGCUGACCCCGCCCAGAACCAGAGCCCCUCCCACUCCGAGCCAGAGGACAGUGCUACCUCAGAUAUCGUGGAGGCUGCGAGUGGAGAGGGCCUACAGCUGUUUGUGGAUGCCAGUGUUCCUGUCAGACAGUAUGUGAACGAGGCCCUGGCAGAGACCAUAGCUCUGAUGCUGGGACAGAGAGAGGGACAGGAGAUACCUGUAGCACCAGCCAAGCCUCAGGAUCAUCCUCCACCACAGUCAAUCAAUCAAUCAAUGUCUUAAUUGUAGCAAUUAAAACAUUUGUUGAGCAAUCAGGGAGCCCUUGGUGCCAACCCCAGGUCCCACCCCGUCGCCCAGUGUUAGUCCUGGGCCCCCCAGCAGAGGCCUGUCCCCCCUGGCCACCCCACAGGCCUUGGAGCAGGGGACCCCACAGCAGUCACCCAGAGAGCCCCAGCCUCCUGAGGCCCACACCUCUACACCUGCAGACUAAUGUCAGUGGCUAAAGAUGAGCCUGUCUGUGUGGUCUCUCCAGUCCCACCUGCACCCCCCAGCCACAGCCCCUGCCUCCCUACUGCCCUACCCCACCACCCCCACCUGGGCCUCAGACCUCCUCCACUCCCUCCUCCUGGUCCUCGGAGGAGAAUAGCAGUAGCAGCAGUAGUUCCACUGUCACAGACACUGCUGCUAGACACAUCUGAGCAGGAGAGCUGUUCCUUAGCUACAGCCAUGUGGCAGCAGCACCAGCCUUUGAGGAGGAAGGCUUCUAUGUUCCCUAUCUGAUCAACAGCUUCUCCAGCUCCCUGCAGGAGGUCCAGGACCUGAAGUUACACACGCAACGAGCUUCCAGGACACUCAGCGGCCGGUUGACAUCAGGGACCUGGAUAUGUAGCCAGAGAUGCCAUUUCAGCCUCCUUAGUCUGACACCUCAAUGUCACCUCCACUGCUGGAGGACUCCAUCUCCCACAGUGCA